This 494-nucleotide ribosomal RNA is filed under the name uncultured bacterium. RNAcentral describes it as "partial 16S ribosomal RNA". It matches the Rfam family "Bacterial small subunit ribosomal RNA", at positions 28 to 507 of the family's 1533-position model. The record is from RNAcentral.
GACGAACGCUGGCGGCGCGCUUAACACAUGCAAGUCGAACGGAAAGGCCUGCUUUCCCUUGUGGAUUGCGGGUACUCGAGUGGCGAACGGGUGAGUAACACGUGAGUGAUCUGCCCCCAACUUGGGUAUAAGCCUGGGAAACUGGGUCUAAUUCCCGAUAGGACUGCAGGGUGGUGCCUGUGGUGGAAAAUGAUUUUCUAGUGGUUGGGGAUGAGCUCGCGGCCUAUCAGCUUGUUGGUGGGGUAAUGGCCUACCAAGGCGGCGACGGGUAGCCGGCCUGGGAGGGUGGACGGCCACAUUGGGACUGAGAUACGGCCCAGACUCCUACGGGAGGCAGCAGUGGGGAAUAUUGCACAAUGGGCGGAAGCCUGAUGCAGCGACGCCGCGUGGGGGAUGACGGCCUUCGGGUUGUAAACUCCUUUCGACCGCGAGGAAGCCACCUGGUUGGAAGGGUGGUGACGGUAGUGGUAGAAGAAGCACCGGCUAACUACGUG